Molecule: unclassified non-coding RNA, 253 nt
Filed under: uncultured Rhodobacterales bacterium
Lineage: Bacteria; Pseudomonadati; Pseudomonadota; Alphaproteobacteria; Rhodobacterales
Description: contains 16S-23S intergenic spacer region
Rfam family: Bacterial small subunit ribosomal RNA
Source: RNAcentral
UACGGAGGGGGUUAGCGUUGUUCGGAAUUACUGGGCGUAAAGCGCGCGUAGGCGGAUUGGAAAGUUGGGUGUGAAAUCGCGGGGCUCAACCCCGGAACGGCCUCCAAAACUAGCAGUCUUGAGUUCGGGAGAGGUGAGUGGAAUUCCGAGUGUAGAGGUGAAAUUCGUAGAGAUUCGGAGGAACACCAGUGGCGAAGGCGACUCACUGGCUCGAUACUGACGCUGAAGUGCGAAAGCGUGGGGAGCAAACAGG